This 1550-nucleotide ribosomal RNA is filed under the name Salmonella enterica. Its description in RNAcentral is "bacterial SSU rRNA". It matches the Rfam family "Bacterial small subunit ribosomal RNA". The record is from RNAcentral. Lineage: Bacteria; Pseudomonadati; Pseudomonadota; Gammaproteobacteria; Enterobacterales; Enterobacteriaceae.
UGAAGAGUUUGAUCAUGGCUCAGAUUGAACGCUGGCGGCAGGCCUAACACAUGCAAGUCGAACGGUAACAGGAAGCAGCUUGCUGCUUUGCUGACGAGUGGCGGACGGGUGAGUAAUGUCUGGGAAACUGCCUGAUGGAGGGGGAUAACUACUGGAAACGGUGGCUAAUACCGCAUAACGUCGCAAGACCAAAGAGGGGGACCUUCGGGCCUCUUGCCAUCAGAUGUGCCCAGAUGGGAUUAGCUUGUUGGUGAGGUAACGGCUCACCAAGGCGACGAUCCCUAGCUGGUCUGAGAGGAUGACCAGCCACACUGGAACUGAGACACGGUCCAGACUCCUACGGGAGGCAGCAGUGGGGAAUAUUGCACAAUGGGCGCAAGCCUGAUGCAGCCAUGCCGCGUGUAUGAAGAAGGCCUUCGGGUUGUAAAGUACUUUCAGCGGGGAGGAAGGUGUUGUGGUUAAUAACCGCAGCAAUUGACGUUACCCGCAGAAGAAGCACCGGCUAACUCCGUGCCAGCAGCCGCGGUAAUACGGAGGGUGCAAGCGUUAAUCGGAAUUACUGGGCGUAAAGCGCACGCAGGCGGUCUGUCAAGUCGGAUGUGAAAUCCCCGGGCUCAACCUGGGAACUGCAUUCGAAACUGGCAGGCUUGAGUCUUGUAGAGGGGGGGAGAAUUCCAGGUGUAGCGGUGAAAUGCGUAGAGAUCUGGAGGAAUACCGGUGGCGAAGGCGGCCCCCUGGACAAAGACUGACGCUCAGGUGCGAAAGCGUGGGGAGCAAACAGGAUUAGAUACCCUGGUAGUCCACGCCGUAAACGAUGUCUACUUGGAGGUUGUGCCCUUGAGGCGUGGCUUCCGGAGCUAACGCGUUAAGUAGACCGCCUGGGGAGUACGGCCGCAAGGUUAAAACUCAAAUGAAUUGACGGGGGCCCGCACAAGCGGUGGAGCAUGUGGUUUAAUUCGAUGCAACGCGAAGAACCUUACCUGGUCUUGACAUCCACGGAAGUUUUCAGAGAUGAGAAUGUGCCUUCGGGAACCGUGAGACAGGUGCUGCAUGGCUGUCGUCAGCUCGUGUUGUGAAAUGUUGGGUUAAGUCCCGCAACGAGCGCAACCCUUAUCCUUUGUUGCCAGCGGUCCGGCCGGGAACUCAAAGGAGACUGCCAGUGAUAAACUGGAGGAAGGUGGGGAUGACGUCAAGUCAUCAUGGCCCUUACGACCAGGGCUACACACGUGCUACAAUGGCGCAUACAAAGAGAAGCGACCUCGCGAGAGCAAGCGGACCUCAUAAAGUGCGUCGUAGUCCGGAUUGGAGUCUGCAACUCGACUCCAUGAAGUCGGAAUCGCUAGUAAUCGUGGAUCAGAAUGCCACGGUGAAUACGUUCCCGGGCCUUGUACACACCGCCCGUCACACCAUGGGAGUGGGUUGCAAAAGAAGUAGGUAGCUUAACCUUCGGGAGGGCGCUUACCACUUUGUGAUUCAUGACUGGGGUGAAGUCGUAACAAGGUAACCGUAGGGGAACCUGCGGUUGGAUCACCUCCUUACCUUAAAGAAGC